CCUACGGGAGGCUGCAGUGGGGAAUAUUGCACAAUGGGGGAAAGUCUGCUGCAGCGACGCCGCGUGAGUGAAGAAGUCUUUCGGUACUUAAAGCUCUAUCAGCAGGGGAGAAAAUGACGGUACCUGACUCAGAAGCCACGUCUAACUACAUGCCAGCAGCCGCGGUAAUCCGUAGGGGGCAGGCGUUAUCCGGAGUUACUGGGUGUAAAGGGUGCGUAUGCGGCAGCGCAAGUCCGAAGUGAAAUCCCAUGGCUUAACCAUGGAACUGGUUUGGAAACUGUGCAGCUGGAGUGCAGGAGUGGUAAGCGGAAUGUAUAGUGUAGCGGUGAAAUGCGUAGAGAUUAGGAGGAACACCAGUGGCGAAGGCGGCUUACUGGACUGUAACUGACGUUGAGGCUCGAAAGCGUGGGGAGCAAACAGGAGUAGAUACCCCUGUAGUC
RNAcentral lists this ribosomal RNA (440 nucleotides) under uncultured bacterium. RNAcentral's name for it is "partial 16S ribosomal RNA". It matches the Rfam family "Bacterial small subunit ribosomal RNA", at positions 338 to 795 of the family's 1533-position model. The record is from RNAcentral.